This 90-nucleotide transfer RNA is filed under the name Magnetococcales bacterium. RNAcentral's name for it is "tRNA-Ser". It matches the Rfam family "tRNA". Rfam says of the family: Transfer RNA (tRNA) molecules are approximately 80 nucleotides in length. Their secondary structure includes four short double-helical elements and three loops (D, anti-codon, and T loops). Further hydrogen bonds mediate the characteristic L-shaped molecular structure. tRNAs have two regions of fundamental functional importance: the anti-codon, which is responsible for specific mRNA codon recognition, and the 3' end, to which the tRNAs corresponding amino acid is attached (by aminoacyl-tRNA synthetases). tRNAs cope with the degeneracy of the genetic code in two manners: having more than one tRNA (with a specific anti-codon) for a particular amino acid; and 'wobble' base-pairing, i.e. permitting non-standard base-pairing at the 3rd anti-codon position. The record is from RNAcentral. Lineage: Bacteria; Pseudomonadati; Pseudomonadota; Magnetococcia; Magnetococcales.
GGAGGAGUUCCAGAGCGGUCGAAUGGGACGGUCUCGAAAAUCGUUGUGGGGGUGACUCCACCCAGGGUUCGAAUCCCUGCUCCUCCGCCA